AGGUGAUAAGCGUUGUCCGGAUUUACUGGGCGUAAAGCGCACGCAGGCGGUUUGUUAAGUCAGAUGUGAAAUCCCCGGGCUCAACCUGGGAACUGCAUCUGAUACUGGCAAGGUUGAGUCUCGUAGAGGGGGGUAGAAUUCCAGGUGUAGCGGUGAAAUGCGUAGAGAUCUGGAGGAAUACCGGUGGCGAAGGCGGCCCCCUGGACGAAGACUGACGCUCAGGUGCGAAAGCGUGGGGAGCAA
This 243-nucleotide ribosomal RNA is filed under the name uncultured bacterium. RNAcentral describes it as "partial 16S ribosomal RNA". It matches the Rfam family "Bacterial small subunit ribosomal RNA", at positions 529 to 771 of the family's 1533-position model. The record is from RNAcentral.